UGAGGAAUAUUGGUCAAUGGGCGCAAGCCUGAACCAGCCAUGCCGCGUGCAGGAAGAAUGCCCUAUGGGUUGUAAACUGCUUUUAUUUGGGAAUAAACCUCUUUACGUGUAGAGAGCUGAAGGUACCAAAUGAAUAAGCACCGGCUAACUCCGUGCCAGCAGCCGCGGUAAUACGGAGGGUGCAAGCGUUAUCCGGAAUCAUUGGGUUUAAAGGGUCCGCAGGCGGAUUUAUAAGUCAGUGGUGAAAUCCUAUCGCUUAACGAUAGAACUGCCAUUGAUACUGUAAGUCUUGAAUUCGGUCGGAGUGGGCGGAAUGUGUAGUGUAGCGGUGAAAUGCAUAGAUAUUACACAGAACACCGAUAGCGAAGGCAGCUCACUAGGCCUGAAUUGACGCUCAGGG
Molecule: ribosomal RNA, 400 nt
Filed under: uncultured bacterium
Lineage: Bacteria
Description: bacterial SSU rRNA
Rfam family: Bacterial small subunit ribosomal RNA
Source: RNAcentral